Molecule: ribosomal RNA, 497 nt
Filed under: uncultured bacterium
Lineage: Bacteria
Description: partial 16S ribosomal RNA
Rfam family: Bacterial small subunit ribosomal RNA
Source: RNAcentral
GAUGAACGCUGGCGGCGUGCCUAAUACAUGCAAGUCGAGCGAACGGACGAGAAGCUUGCUUCUCUGAUGUUAGCGGCGGACGGGUGAGUAACACGUGGAUAACCUACCUAUAAGACUGGGAUAACUUCGGGAAACCGGAGCUAAUACCGGAUAAUAUUUUGAACCGCAUGGUUCAAAAGUGAAAGACGGUCUUGCUGUCACUUAUAGCUGGAUCCGGGCUGCAUUAGCUAGUUGGUAUGGUAACGGCUUACCAAGGCAACGAUGCAUAGCCGACCUGAGAGGGUGAUCGGCCACACGGGAACUGAGACACGGUCCAGACUCCUACGGGAGGCAGCAGUAGGGAAUCUUCGGCAAUGGGGGAAAGCCUGACGGAGCAACGCCGCGUGAGUGAUGAAGGUCUUCGGAUCGUAAAACUCUGUUAUUAGGGAAGAACAUAUGUGUAAGUAACUGUGCACAUCUUGACGGUACCUAAUCAGAAAGCCACGGCUAACUACGUG